GACGAACGCUGGCGGCGUGCUUAACACAUGCAAGUCGAACGGAAAGGCCCUGCUUUUGUGGGGUGCUCGAGUGGCGAACGGGUGAGUAACACGUGAGUAACCUGCCCUUGACUUUGGGAUAACUUCAGGAAACUGGGGCUAAUACCGGAUAGGAGCUCCUGCUGCAUGGUGGGGGUUGGAAAGUUUCGGCGGUUGGGGAUGGACUCGCGGCUUAUCAGCUUGUUUGUGGGGUAGUGGCUUACCAAGGCUUUGACGGGUAGCCGGCCUGAGAGGGUGACCGGCCACAUUGGGACUGCGAGACGGACCAGACGCCUACGGGAGGCAGCAGUGGGGAAUAUUGCGCAAUGGGCGGAAGCCUGAUGCAGCAACGCCGCGUGCGGGAUGACGGCCUUCGGGUUGUAAACCGCUUUCGCCUGUGACGAAGCGUGAGUGACGGUAAUGGGUAAAGAAGCACCGGCUAACUACGUG
This 468-nucleotide ribosomal RNA is filed under the name uncultured bacterium. Its description in RNAcentral is "partial 16S ribosomal RNA". It matches the Rfam family "Bacterial small subunit ribosomal RNA", at positions 28 to 507 of the family's 1533-position model. The record is from RNAcentral.